UACGUAGGGGGCUAGCGUUGUUCGGAAUUACUGGGCGUAAAGCGCACGUAGGCGGCUUUGCAAGUUAGCGGUGAAAGCCCGGGGCUCAACUCCGGAAUUGCCUUUAAAACUGCAUCGCUAGAAUUGUGGAGAGGUAAGUGGAAUUCCGAGUGUAGAGGUGAAAUUCGUAGAUAUUCGGAAGAACACCAGUGGCGAAGGCGACUUACUGGACACAUAUUGACGCUGAGGUGCGAAAGCGUGGGGAGCAAACAGG
This 253-nucleotide ribosomal RNA is filed under the name uncultured bacterium. Its description in RNAcentral is "partial 16S ribosomal RNA". It matches the Rfam family "Bacterial small subunit ribosomal RNA", at positions 524 to 776 of the family's 1533-position model. The record is from RNAcentral.